AAAGUAUUUAUCGCUCAAGGAGGGGGUGCGGCCUAUCAGGUAGUUGGUGAGGUAAUGGCUCACCAAGCCUAUGACGGGUAGCCGGUCUGAGAGGAUGUCCGGCCGCAAUGGAACUGAGAACGGUCCAUACUCCUACGGGAGGCAGCAGUGGGGAGUAUUGGACAAUGGGCGAAAGCCUGAUCCAGCGAUUCUGCGUGAAGGAUGAAGCCUCGUGGGGUGUAAACUUCUUUUCUGGGAGAAGACGAAUGACGGUAUCUCAGGAAUAAGAGACGGCUAACUACGUG
RNAcentral lists this ribosomal RNA (284 nucleotides) under uncultured bacterium. RNAcentral's name for it is "partial 16S ribosomal RNA". It matches the Rfam family "Bacterial small subunit ribosomal RNA", at positions 202 to 507 of the family's 1533-position model. The record is from RNAcentral.